This 274-nucleotide ribosomal RNA is filed under the name uncultured bacterium. Its description in RNAcentral is "partial 16S ribosomal RNA". It matches the Rfam family "Bacterial small subunit ribosomal RNA", at positions 523 to 796 of the family's 1533-position model. The record is from RNAcentral.
AUACGGAGGGUGCAAGCGUUAUCCGGAAUCAUUGGGUUUAAAGGGUCCGUAGGCGGAUUAUUAAGUCAGAGGUGAAAUCCCACAGCUUAACUGUGGAACUGCCUUUGAUACUGGUAGUCUUGAGUUAUAUGGAAGUAGAUAGAAUGUGUAGUGUAGCGGUGAAAUGCAUAGAUAUUACACAGAAUACCGAUUGCGAAGGCAGUCUACUACGUAUAUACUGACGCUAAUGGACGAAAGCGUGGGGAGCGAGCAGGAUUAGAAACCCUAGUAGUCC